CAACCCUGCAGAAUGUCUGCCAUGCUUGAGACCUGGAAACAAUGGGGUAAUUAGUCCCACCUAAGCUCGGUUGUCUGCUGGAGACAGCCUCUAAGCCUGCAUCUGGCUGUCCACCUUGAGAUUUCUGUGGUUCCCCAAAACAACAGAUGGAUGAGUGGGUGAUCCUUGCAUUAAAAGCCAGUUGUGUCCCCUCAGGGCCUGGAAGCCCCUCUUCUCCUAAGUCUGGUGGGGCUCAGGCACCACCCCUUACACAUACCAUCUUUGAAGUCAGUUACCCAAGAGGAAGCUGCUUUAGGCCCUCUAACGGUUAAAUGCCAACUCCCCACUUCAAGAAUGCACUGACCUGAUCCAGUGUGCCUAGCCAUCCCAUGGGGCCUGCAGCUUUCUGCUGGUGACAGCGAGGCAGGGAGCAAGGUCCACACAGGCCCUCAAAGGAUAUGAACGAAUCCACCCCCUCCACCCCCCCCCCGUUGUUCCUGUUGGAGUAAUCUCUAGGCUUGGAAGUUAAGAAGUUGCCUACUACCCACAAAUGAGACUGCAUGCAGCCUAGUUGGAAUGGAGUUACACUUCCCAGACCAUCCAGUGCCCUCUCCCUACCCUGGGCAGGGGCGAAUCGAAGCCUGGGUGGAAGAACAGGGUUGACGCUUGUAUUGAAUGUUGUUUUCCAAUUAAAUAAAAGCUCCGUAGCCUCA
Molecule: long non-coding RNA, 692 nt
Filed under: Mus pahari (shrew mouse)
Lineage: Eukaryota; Metazoa; Chordata; Mammalia; Rodentia; Muridae
Description: predicted gene, 26532 (MGP_PahariEiJ_G0005155.1)
Source: RNAcentral